Molecule: long non-coding RNA, 678 nt
Organism: Anguilla rostrata (American eel)
Lineage: Eukaryota; Metazoa; Chordata; Actinopteri; Anguilliformes; Anguillidae
Exons: 3
Source: RefSeq, a predicted model, not a curated record
GCAGCAUAGAAAUAGGUUUCUCUGUACUUCCUGGUUGGGUGUCGCUCCCAGGUGGUGGGUGUGUCACUUUAGAGCGCAGCUGGUAGUUAUUUAUUGAGCUGGGGUCACGUAUUUAAGCAGUGGCCUCCCCCCUGCUUCUUGCUCUCCUUCCGUUGUGUCACUUCCGGGUCAUAGGUGUUGUUUUGCUGUCUGCGACAGGUACGUUUACUCUUGCUUCAACUCACUGGUUACUGGUUGUACUGAUUGAAUGCUUACGGCGUUUAUUUUGCGCUACAGAGUUGUGGGUGCGCCCCGCCGUUGAGUGCGUCUUUGGCUUGUGUGCCGCUCGCUUGGUUUCGCUGUGUUGCUGAGGUCGGUGGCGGUGCUGGUGGCGGGAUUCCCCCCCCUUUUUUUUGUUGUGUGCUGUGCUCCCUGGGAUUCAAGUUGUCACAACCGUGUGUGUGCGUGUGUCACGUGGGCGUGGGUGAUUUCUUGGUUUACUGGGUGACUUCCUCCCCACUGGCCCCUGUCCAUCCGAUUGGAGAGCUUGGAGACAGAACAGCAGUGGUUCGCAGCGGACCCCCUUGACGGUUCGGUGAGGUUGUUUCCCUAGAUUUGCUUUUUGUCGUGCCGGUGCACCAUACAAACUUUGUGUCGUAAUACAAGUUGUAGUAGUCAUGGAGAAAGAGGUUCAGGAAC